UCAUUAGUAUUAAGAAUUAAUAGUUGUUUUAUAGUUUUUGUCAUAGAACAGCCAAAAUUACUUCACAAAGCUUCAAUGUCCAGCAUGAUCCACUCGGAUAUAAAAUCCAGUCUCACUGUGACCCCUGUCAAGCACUAGGCAUCAUACUGAUGGGAUUAUAUGCUACUUGGGCAUGCUGUGAAAAAUUAUGGUGGUGUUUGGUUUUGAUCUGCUUAUUCACAGAGUGAAUUAGGUUCAGAUUGUGAAGUUUAAAUUAAGGAGCUAGUUCCUUACAGGAAAUUCUUGUGUACUACCAGGGCAUAUUGGUGUCCAGUCUGCCUACCUGACAGGGACACAUUCUGUUAGAAGGAUCUGACAUUAAUAUAGCCAACAAGAAUUUCCAUAUGCAAAAUAAUUUUUGUCCGCUGUACAUAAAGGGACCAAGAAUACCCUUUUGUAUUACCUAGGUUGUAGUAAAGGUAGACAGAAAUGCACGUUUGUCUGCUUGUUACCAUCCUGCUUUUGAGUUGUCCAUUUAUUAUUGUUUAAUAUUUAUAUACAUUUAAAAACACAGACAAACAAAAAACCCAACCAGUUUUGCAGUUAUCUUUGAAGGAUGUAAUGUAGAGACAAAAUGUCUCCCUUAUAUGUGGGGAUGUAUAUGCGAAGCUCAAAUGUCUGAAGGUCUUCGAGUUUGAUUGAAAAUGAAGAGUGAUCAACUUGGUAGUUUUUCUCAGAACUAGGCUUAUAUACGGUCUAGUAACCAGAGCUAUUAAUUACCUGCUUGGGUAUGGGGGAAAAUGUGUGUAUUCUGAAGUGACUGAUUCAGGUGCUUCAGUGGAUAUUUCUGCUUCUAUUGUAGAGUUGACCUAGGAACACUAAAAACUGAGCUGGUUUCUGUGCACUGAAUUAGAAUCUAUCACAUGGUCUGUCUUCCCCCCCAAGCACACGCACUAAAAUAUUUU
This is a long non-coding RNA of Oxyura jamaicensis (ruddy duck), 944 nucleotides long. RefSeq lists it as uncharacterized. The transcript is spliced from 3 exons. Lineage: Eukaryota; Metazoa; Chordata; Aves; Anseriformes; Anatidae. The record is from RefSeq and is a predicted model, not a curated record.